UGGGGAAUAUUGGGCAAUGGGCGAAAGCCUUACCCAGCAACGCCGCGUGAAGGAAGAAGGUUUUCGGAUUGUAAACUUCAGCAAGCAGGGAAGAAAGAAAUGACGGUACCUGAACAAAAGCCACGGCUAACUACGUGCCAGCAGCCGCGGUAAUACGUAGGUGGCAAGCGUUGUCCGGAUUUACUGGGUGUAAAGGGCGCGUAGGCGGGCUCGUAAGUCAGACGUGAAAUACCGGGGCUCAACCCCGGGGCUGCGUUUGAAACUGCAAGUCUUGAGUGCCGGAGAGGAAAGCGGAAUUCCUAGUGUAGCGGUGAAAUGCGUAGAUAUUAGGAGGAACACCAGUGGCGAAGGCGACUUUCUGGACGGUAACUGACGCUGAGGCGCGAAAGCGUGGGGAGCAAACAGGAUUAGAUACC
RNAcentral lists this ribosomal RNA (416 nucleotides) under uncultured bacterium. RNAcentral's name for it is "bacterial SSU rRNA". It matches the Rfam family "Bacterial small subunit ribosomal RNA", at positions 355 to 786 of the family's 1533-position model. The record is from RNAcentral.